Molecule: long non-coding RNA, 1277 nt
Organism: Oncorhynchus tshawytscha (Chinook salmon)
Lineage: Eukaryota; Metazoa; Chordata; Actinopteri; Salmoniformes; Salmonidae
Source: Ensembl
GUAAGUCUAUAACCAUACACCUGAAUGUGGCCCAGUGGGGCCUGUCUGGGACCUGUCUGAUCAACGUAAGUCUAUAACCAUACACCUGAAUGUGGCCCAGUGGGGCCUGUCUGGGACCUGUCUGAUCAACGUAAGUCUAUAACCAUACACCUGAAUGUGGCCCAGUGGGGCCUGUCUGGGACCUGUCUGAUCAACGUAAGUCUAUAACCGUACACCUGAACGUGGCCCAGUGGGGCCUGUCUGGGACCUGUCUGAUCAACGUAAGUCUAUAACCGUACACCUGAAUGUGGUCCAGUGGGGCCUGUCUGGGACCUGUCUGAUCAACGUGGGAAACGCAAAACAAAUGCAAACCAGGAUCCAGAUGUCGCUGACCAAGGAGGAGUACUCUUGGUUUUCAGACUUCCUGAAAUUUAAGCACUGUCUGCCAGGGGGAAAUAAAGCCCAGUACUUCUUUUUCAAUUCCACCAACACUGAGAUCAAGAACCUGCCCGUCUACCUGAGGGAGGCGUGGAAGGAGAUGGGCCUGCCUGGAAGGCCUUCCUUCACUGACCUGCGGACUUCCAUCUUCAGUCAUGUUAAAAACGUUCUCCCGAAUGCCGACGGGGAAACGUUGGCCGACUUCGUGCGCCACGACAGCCGGAUGGAAGCCAAACGUUACUCAAUGAAUCCUUCCAAAGCCGGUAAACCAGCGCCUUCCUUGAGACGGCGUUGAAGGGAGAAGAUACCGCACCACGGGCGCCGCAGAGAACCAGCCAUCCACCUCCAGAAAGCAGAAGACGAGAGAGGACGUCUCCGAGCGGAGCACCACCCCUGAAGAGACCGAGGUGCAGUACUAGGAGUCUGGCACGUCCCCCAGGGAGGAGGAGCAGGAACGGACGGCCAGACAAACUCUAGGAAAACAAGAUAUUCAGAGACAACGCAUUAGAUUACACUUGUACACCGUUUAACACUCAAGAACAAACAGAUACUCGGGCGUGGUGGUCUCCUCCAACUGAAGGGCAUGGUGGUCUCCUCCAACUGAAGGGCAUGGUGGUCUCCUCCAACUGAAUGUCGCCGCUCGCCUCCCACUGUGUCAGGUUAUGAAGCAGCUGAGGUCCAUUUAAAGCCCCAAACAGACUCCAGGAGAAAGAAGGACGAGGAAAGAGGGGGGGUUGACCUCUGACAGUCAGGUGGAAGAGGGGGGUUGACCUCUGACAGUCAGGUGGAAGAGGGGGGUUGACCUCUGACAGUCAGGUGGAAGACGGGGAGCUGUCUUCUGACAGUCAGGUGGAAGAGGG